AUACUAACCUGUCAGGGGAGACAUGGUGAUCACAAAGGUGUUUUUCAAGAGUGAAGUUUAUCCACGGCGCUUCGGAUGUGCUGACCCCUGCGAUUUCCCCAAAUUCGGAAAAUGAGCUGCAUUC
This is a small nuclear RNA of Cricetulus griseus (Chinese hamster), 124 nucleotides long. Its record names the gene U1. It matches the Rfam family "U1 spliceosomal RNA". Rfam says of the family: U1 is a small nuclear RNA (snRNA) component of the spliceosome (involved in pre-mRNA splicing). Its 5' end forms complementary base pairs with the 5' splice junction, thus defining the 5' donor site of an intron. NCBI's taxonomy places the organism in Eukaryota, Metazoa, Chordata, Mammalia, Rodentia, Cricetidae. The record is from Ensembl.